Molecule: transfer RNA, 74 nt
Filed under: Cohnella yongneupensis
Lineage: Bacteria; Bacillati; Bacillota; Bacilli; Caryophanales; Paenibacillaceae
Also listed under: 4 other names
Description: tRNA-Gln
Rfam family: tRNA
About the family: Transfer RNA (tRNA) molecules are approximately 80 nucleotides in length. Their secondary structure includes four short double-helical elements and three loops (D, anti-codon, and T loops). Further hydrogen bonds mediate the characteristic L-shaped molecular structure. tRNAs have two regions of fundamental functional importance: the anti-codon, which is responsible for specific mRNA codon recognition, and the 3' end, to which the tRNAs corresponding amino acid is attached (by aminoacyl-tRNA synthetases). tRNAs cope with the degeneracy of the genetic code in two manners: having more than one tRNA (with a specific anti-codon) for a particular amino acid; and 'wobble' base-pairing, i.e. permitting non-standard base-pairing at the 3rd anti-codon position.
Source: RNAcentral
UGGGGAUUAGCCAAGCGGUAAGGCAACGGACUUUGACUCCGUCAUCCUAGGUUCGAAUCCUAGAUCCCCAGCCA